AUGGCGUGGCGGUCCAUGCUCUGCCACCCGGACUUCAUCGCCGCUCAUGACCACCGUCACUCGUGCCAACGCCGCGCCGUCGGCGUGUACCACCAUGCCCAGCCCUGGCCUAAAAUACUCGUCCGGGACAUGGACACCGGCCGCGUCAUCAAAUCUCUUAGCGCCAAAAGCACCACACAGCACCCCCGCUCCUUGAGUCCUGACCGAGCGGUCUGCGUUCAGGGAUUGGGCAUGCGGCUCCACCUCCUCGACCACGUCACGGGUGCCGUCUCCCUCUUGCCAAGACCUGCGUCGCCACGGGACUGUGCGGUCGUCUCGUACUCGCUCGGCCGCGUGACCUCCACUGGAGAGUACAAGGUGCUGGCCGUGGUCACCCUCGCGCAACAUCAGGGGCAGGUCUGCAAGAUCCUCACCCUCACUGGCGGCCAGGAGCCUUGGAGGGAGACAGGGAGGCCACUGUUCCGGGUGGUAUCACCGCCGACGAAGUCGUACACCAACUGCAGGGAGACGGCCGUAGUCGAGGGGGUAGCCUACUUCCUAGUUGUCGACGGCCACCGGAUGGACGAGUACGACGCCGACUGGAUCAUGGCGUACGACCUGGACACCGAGGGGUGGCGGCCGGCAGCCAUCCAAGGCCCCGCUGGCACCAGCGACGUCGGUCUUGCCGGGUUGGACGGACGUCUGGUCGUGUGCCACGACGAUCGCCUCAACCGCGUGCAACUGUGGUGCCUCAUGGAACCCGAUCAGGCUCUCUGCAUUGUCGUCAUCACGCUUUUGUGA
RNAcentral lists this ribosomal RNA (780 nucleotides) under Triticum aestivum (bread wheat). Its description in RNAcentral is "partial small subunit ribosomal RNA". The record is from RNAcentral. Lineage: Eukaryota; Viridiplantae; Streptophyta; Magnoliopsida; Poales; Poaceae.